This 904-nucleotide ribosomal RNA is filed under the name Phaeosphaeriopsis obtusispora. RNAcentral describes it as "eukaryotic LSU rRNA". It matches the Rfam family "Eukaryotic large subunit ribosomal RNA", at positions 39 to 964 of the family's 3401-position model. Lineage: Eukaryota; Fungi; Ascomycota; Dothideomycetes; Pleosporales; Phaeosphaeriaceae. The record is from RNAcentral.
CAUAUCAAUAAGCGGAGGAAAAGAAACCAACAGGGAUUGCCCUAGUAACGGCGAGUGAAGCGGCAACAGCUCAAAUUUGAAAUCUGGCUCUUUCAGAGUCCGAGUUGUAAUUUGCAGAGGGCGCUUUGGCAUUGGCAGCGGUCCAAGUUCUUUGGAACAGGACGUCACAGAGGGUGAGAAUCCCGUACGUGGUCGCUAGCCUUUGCCGUGUAAAGCCCCUUCGACGAGUCGAGUUGUUUGGGAAUGCAGCUCUAAAUGGGAGGUAAAUUUCUUCUAAAGCUAAAUACUGGCCAGAGACCGAUAGCGCACAAGUAGAGUGAUCGAAAGAUGAAAAGCACUUUGGAAAGAGAGUCAAAUAGCACGUGAAAUUGUUGAAAGGGAAGCGCUUGCAGCCAGACUUGCCUGUAGUUGCUUAUCUGGACUUUUGUCCAGUGCACUCUUCUGCGGGCAGGCCAGCAUCAGUUUGGGCGGUUGGAUAAAGGUCUCUGUCAUGUACCUCUCUUCGGGGAGGCCUUAUAGGGGAGACGACAUGCAACCAGCCUGGACUGAGGUCCGCGCAUUUGCUAGGAUGCUGGCGUAAUGGCUGUAAGCGGCCCGUCUUGAAACACGGACCAAGGAGUCUAACAUCUAUGCGAGUGUUUGGGUGUCAAGCCCAGACGCGUAAUGAAAGUGAACGGAGGUGGGAACCCUUUGGGUGCACCAUCGACCGAUCCUGAUGUCUUCGGAAGGAUUUGAGUAAGAGCAUGGCUGUUGGGACCCGAAAGAUGGUGAACUAUGCUUGAAUAGGGUGAAGCCAGAGGAAACUCUGGUGGAGGCUCGCAGCGGUUCUGACGUGCAAAUCGAUCGUCAAAUUUGGGCAUAGGGGCGAAAGACUAAUCGAACUAUCUAGUAGCUGGUUCUGCGA